CCAGACUCCUACGGGAGGCAGCAGUGGGGAAUAUUGCACAAUGGGGGAAACCCUGAUGCAGCGAUGCCGCGUGGAGGAAGAAGGUUUUCGGAUUGUAAACUCCUUUUAUCAGGGACGAUAAUGACGGUACCUGAAGAAAAAGCUCCGGCUAACUACGUGCCAGCAGCCGCGGUAAUACGUAGGGGGCAAGCGUUAUCCGGAUUUACUGGGUGUAAAGGGAGCGUAGACGGCGAAGAAAGUCUGAAGUGAAAGCCCGCGGCUCAACCGCGGAACUGCUUUGGAAACUUUUUUGCUGGAGUACCGGAGAGGUAAGCGGAAUUCCUAGUGUAGCGGUGAAAUGCGUAGAUAUUAGGAGGAACACCAGUGGCGAAGGCGGCUUACUGGACGGUAACUGACGUUGAGGCUCGAAAGCGUGGGGAGCAAACAGGAUUAGAUACCCCGGUAC
This 445-nucleotide ribosomal RNA is filed under the name uncultured bacterium. RNAcentral's name for it is "bacterial SSU rRNA". It matches the Rfam family "Bacterial small subunit ribosomal RNA", at positions 331 to 793 of the family's 1533-position model. The record is from RNAcentral.